UAGUAGUCACGUAGUUUGAUCAGUGCUCAGAACGACGCUGGCGGCAUGCCUAACACAUGCAAGUCGAACGAGACCUUCGGGUCUAGUGGCGCACGGGUGCGUAACGCGUGGGAACCUGCCUUUAGGUUCGGAAUAACUCAGAGAGAUUUGAGCUAAUACCGGAUAAUGUCUUCGGACCAAAGAUUUAUCGCCUUUAGAUGGGCCCGCGUUGGAUUAGCUAGUUGGUGGGGUAAAGGCCUACCAAGGCGACGAUCCAUAGCUGGUCUGAGAGGAUGAUCAGCCACACUGGGACUGAGACACGGCCCAGACUCCUACGGGAGGCAGCAGUGGGGAAUAUUGGACAAUGGGCGAAAGCCUGAUCCAGCAAUGCCGCGUGAGUGAUGAAGGCCUUAGGGUUGUAAAGCUCUUUUACCCGAGAUGAUAAUGACAGUAUCGGGAGAAUAAGCUCCGGCUAACUCCGUG
Molecule: ribosomal RNA, 462 nt
Filed under: uncultured bacterium
Lineage: Bacteria
Description: bacterial SSU rRNA
Rfam family: Bacterial small subunit ribosomal RNA
Source: RNAcentral